RNAcentral lists this unclassified non-coding RNA (329 nucleotides) under plant metagenome. RNAcentral describes it as "partial contains 5.8S ribosomal RNA, internal transcribed spacer 2, and large subunit ribosomal RNA". The stretch from base 1 to 105 matches the Rfam family "5.8S ribosomal RNA", at positions 50 to 154 of the family's 154-position model. The record is from RNAcentral.
GAAAUGCGAUAAGUAAUGUGAAUUGCAGAAUUCCGUGAAUCAUCGAAUCUUUGAACGCACAUUGCGCCCUCUGGUAUUCCGGGGGGCAUGCCUGUCCGAGCGUCAUUGCGAACCCCUCAAGCACGGCUUGUGUGAUGGGCCCUCCCGCGUCUUUGUCGUCAAGACGGGCCCGAAAUGCAGUGGCGGCUUCGCGGUUAUCCGAUCAGCCAGAGCGUAUGGGGACUUUCUCUCUGUCACACGCCCGCGGCGCGGACCGACGCCUGUCGACCUUCAUUCAUCGUUUUCUCGGUUGACCUCGGAUCAGGUAGGGAUACCCGCUGAACUUAAGC